This 46-nucleotide non-coding RNA is filed under the name Schistosoma mansoni. The record is from RNAcentral. Lineage: Eukaryota; Metazoa; Platyhelminthes; Trematoda; Strigeidida; Schistosomatidae.
GCAUUGCUGAGAAGUCCCACAAUAGGACGAAACAACCGUCCAUUGC